RNAcentral lists this ribosomal RNA (407 nucleotides) under Ophichthus machidai. RNAcentral describes it as "partial 16S ribosomal RNA". It matches the Rfam family "Bacterial large subunit ribosomal RNA", at positions 1962 to 2502 of the family's 2925-position model. The record is from RNAcentral. Lineage: Eukaryota; Metazoa; Chordata; Actinopteri; Anguilliformes; Ophichthidae.
UAAUCACUUGUCUUUUAAAUGAAGACCUGUAUGAAUGGCACCACGAGGGUUUAACUGUCUCCUUCCCCCAGUCAAUGAAAUUGAUCUGCCCGUGAAGAAGCGGACAUAAAAACAUAAGACGAGAAGACCCUAUGGAGCUUCAGGCUAAAGACUCAAACACGUAAAGAAAUCUUUCACGAACAAAAGAAGAAGAAUAAAUUUAAACUUAAUGUAAAUGAUCACAUGCCUUCGGUUGGGGCGACCACGGGGGAAAACAAAGCCCCCGAAUGGAAUGAAGACAUCUUCCAAACCAAGAAAUACACUUCUAAGUAACAGAAAAUCUGACCAAACAUGACCCGGAACUAAAUUACCCGAUCAAUGAACCAAGUUACCCUAGGGAUAACAGCGCAAUCCUUUCCCAGAGUCCC